GGGGCUGAUUCUGGAUUCGACGGGAUUUGCGAAACCCAAGGUGCAUGCCGAGGGGCGGUUGGCCUCGUAAAAAGCCGCAAAAAAAUAGUCGCAAACGACGAAAACUACGCUUUAGCAGCUUAAUAACCUGCUCUGAGCCCUCUCUCCCUAGCUUCCGCUCUUAAGACGGGGAUCAAAG
RNAcentral lists this transfer-messenger RNA (178 nucleotides) under Klebsiella oxytoca. RNAcentral's name for it is "partial transfer-messenger RNA". It matches the Rfam family "transfer-messenger RNA", at positions 1 to 182 of the family's 374-position model. Rfam says of the family: Bacterial tmRNA, also known as 10Sa RNA or SsrA, is named for its dual tRNA and mRNA-like properties. Its role is to liberate the mRNA from a stalled ribosome. To accomplish this part of the tmRNA is used as a reading frame that ends in a translation stop signal. Lineage: Bacteria; Pseudomonadati; Pseudomonadota; Gammaproteobacteria; Enterobacterales; Enterobacteriaceae. RNAcentral also lists the same sequence under 1 other name. The record is from RNAcentral.